GAAGAAAAUCAGUCCGAGUAACGUUGGACAAUUGUUUACGGCCAAACCCUGUUGGAAUCUGCAUGUGUCUAAUCGAAUCGUCUUCUCCUUACCGGCGGACGAACUACAAAAACGUUAUGGAAGUAGGCAACCUUCAAUCUUCGUCAUUAAUGCCCUCAUUAACAAUACCUCCCCACUACUCACACGACUUUUUACUCAAUACGUCCCUUUUUUUAUUCCCUUCAUUGAAUCUACAGCUAUAAAUGUAAGAGUUUAUUUUGGUGAAAAUCAUCAGUUCUUUACUCUCAAUCGUUACCAAACUUUCAGAAAUGAGAAUAUCAAACUUCUCUCCCAUGUUCUCCGAUCUGAGAGCCGGUCGUUCUAGCACCACCGUCGAGAUUUUGCCUGUUGGGAUUUUGGGAGUCGAGAUCUCUCCCUCUGUUAUGUCGUGUUUUGUUUUCUUCUCUAUAUAACAAUCUCACCGCUUGGAAGUUUUUAACUUUUGUGGUUGAGUUGAACAUUUGACUUGCUGAGACGAAGUAUGUGUGGUGAUUGGUGAACGAAGAUAUUAUUUUUAACAGGUUCCAUAUCAAAGAUUAUGUCAUAGGAUUUGAGGAUCUUGAAACUGUGUGCAAGUCGGAACCGCGUAAGUAUCAGUUCACAAUCCACUUGCAUGAGUUUAUUAAGUAACUACUUCUUCAAUGACUUUGACAGCGUGGUAGCAGUAUUAGGAUCUGGAUUUGGUUAAUCUAUGGUGAGCCAAGGCUUGCAAGGACAACCACUAAAUGCAGUCACCACUGCUGCUGGUUUUGCUAUCUUCCAAGCAAUAUUUUUUCAAAGGGAGAUAUUAUUCUUUACUUUCUCACCGCUAUAUAUAUAUAUAAGGUUUCUUUCGUGUUGUAACUAAGACUGAUGUCUUGAUGCUUUUUGAAAUAUGAAUGAAGAGUGGUAAUAGAUGUGAGCAUCCCACCAGGGACAAGGUUUCUGAUGCUAGACCAUAUCCACAGGUUUGAAAUAAACUUCUAUGCUCUUGCAUUGAUGAAAGACUGAAUGUAUUAAAAAAAUACAAAGUGGAUUGAACCAUUCUCUGUUGUUUUGAGUGCAAGAUCCCGAAGUUAAACGGGCAAACGAGGAAAGGAUUUUUUUUUCUUUUUCCUAAACACAGAAAUACUAAUCAGCUAUAGCUUUACAUCGGGUAUGAGAGUAUGGAAAAUGUAACUCUUAAGGACCAUCUGUAGGCGUCGGAUAACCCUAGGUUGAACAGGAGGCAGAGACUUGAGAUAUAUGUUGGUGUAUCUAGAGGGCUUUACUAUCCUCAUACAGAUUUUGCAAUAGCCAUCAACACACAGCAAUGUGAAGUCUGCUAACGUUCACUUGGAUGAGAAUUUCAUGUCAAAGUUGCAGACUUUCUAUCGCCUAAGACUGGUCCAGAUCUUGACCAGUCUUAUCCAAGUUGACACCUCUAUGCGGGAGACCAGUCAUUGGUCCAUCUCUUCCGAGAGAGAAACUGAAUUUCAUUUGAAUGGGCGACGAAGUUGGUGAAGAAAGGGAAAAAGGGAUCAAGGACAAUUUUCUUGAUGAGAAGUGAAGCUUGAAGAGGUUAAGAAGCAGAGGCGGACCCACGUUGGAUAAAGGGGUUGCACCUGCCACAGGUUAAAAUUAUAUAUUAGCAAGUCUAUACCACGUAUUGUGAGUUAUCAGAGAAGUGUUUGUUGCAAGCCCGUACCGGUUUUCAGACUCCAUCAUCUAAAACAACUGGAUCAGUGAAAAAAGUCGUUCAUGUGUUGUUAAUCUUUUUUUUUUUUCUUUCAACUCUGUGUUGUUAAUCUGAAUAGGGUUUUGAUCCUCAAUAGCAUAUUUUUCAUGUAAACUAAUGAUCCAAAUGGAUUUAUUUAGAUUAUAUUUGUACUUUUGAGAGCUAGAGAAACGAAUUUCACACAAGUAAUUUUGUGAAAUGAAUA
Brassica napus (rape) is the source of this 1940-nucleotide long non-coding RNA. RefSeq lists it as uncharacterized. The transcript has 2 exons. The record is from RefSeq and is a predicted model, not a curated record. NCBI's taxonomy places the organism in Eukaryota, Viridiplantae, Streptophyta, Magnoliopsida, Brassicales, Brassicaceae.